AGUUGGUCCGAGUGCAGUGGUGUUUACAACUAAUUGAUCAUAACCAGUUACAAAUUCCUUUGUUCCUUCUCCACUCCCACUGCUUCACUUGACUAGAAAA
Molecule: unclassified non-coding RNA, 100 nt
Organism: Otolemur garnettii (small-eared galago)
Lineage: Eukaryota; Metazoa; Chordata; Mammalia; Primates; Galagidae
Rfam family: Y RNA
About the family: Y RNAs are components of the Ro ribonucleoprotein particle (Ro RNP), in association with Ro60 and La proteins. The Y RNAs and Ro60 and La proteins are well conserved, but the function of the Ro RNP is not known.
Source: Ensembl